RNAcentral lists this ribosomal RNA (387 nucleotides) under uncultured bacterium. RNAcentral describes it as "bacterial SSU rRNA". It matches the Rfam family "Bacterial small subunit ribosomal RNA", at positions 29 to 416 of the family's 1533-position model. The record is from RNAcentral.
AUUGAACGCUGGCGGAAUGCUUUACACAUGCAAGUCGAGCGGCAGCGCGGGGGCAACCCUGGCGGCGAGCGGCGAACGGGUGAGUAAUACAUCGGAACGUGUCCUUGAGUGGGGGAUAGCUCGGCGAAAGCCGGAUUAAUACCGCAUAAGCUCUGCGGAGGAAAGCGGGGGACUGGUAACGGCCUCGCGCUGUUGGAGCGGCCGAUGUCGGAUUAGCUAGUUGGUGGGGAAAGGCCCACCAAGGCGACGAUCCGUAGCUGGUCUGAGAGGAUGAUCAGCCACACUGGAACUGAGACACGGUCCAGACUCCUACGGGAGGCAGCAGUGGGGAAUUUUGGACAAUGGGGGCAACCCUGAUCCAGCCAUUCCGCGUGAGUGAAGAAGGCC